CAAGAUAAUAAUUUUUUGAUGCGACUCUGGCCGACUGCCCGUCACGCCUUUCCUACCCCCUGAAAAAAAUCACAAACAAAGAAAUUUGUGAAAUAUAAGUAUGUAGUGCAUUCGGUUAUAAACGUUUUUUAAGUUUGUCGCGUGCGACAUGGAUAUAAGUCGACCGAUCUCUCCCGUUUCGACUUCCGUUUCAACACAUUUCCGCUUUUUACACAGGCAGUAACCGAACAUUGCCGAUUUAUUUACAUAACAGAACAGCAACAUUCGGACGGCUUUUCACUCUGUGCAAAGCACACCAAUACAUACUUAUUAUAGAUCAUUAACGCUUGACCGGUAGUCAAACAAAUUAUGGAUGAUGAGUCCAGUAAUGGGAAAUUUGCCAUCUGACCGCUUAAAUGGAGUCCAUUCGCAACGAAGUAUCGAAACCACUGCAAGUCACCAUAUACAACUUAUGCAUCAAUCUUUGUCUGCCUUGGUUCAACAGCAAUUCAUUUAGAACUCGUAGCC
Molecule: long non-coding RNA, 507 nt
Organism: Drosophila ananassae
Lineage: Eukaryota; Metazoa; Arthropoda; Insecta; Diptera; Drosophilidae
Exons: 4
Source: RefSeq, a predicted model, not a curated record